RNAcentral lists this ribosomal RNA (303 nucleotides) under Grypomachaerota turbinata. RNAcentral's name for it is "partial 12S ribosomal RNA". Lineage: Eukaryota; Metazoa; Arthropoda; Insecta; Hemiptera; Machaerotidae. The record is from RNAcentral.
UUAUGGUCCUUAAAUUCAAAGAAUUUGGCGGUAAUUAAGUCUUUUUAGAGGAACCUGUUCUGUAAUUGAUAAUCCACGAUUGAUUUUACUUUAUAUUGAUUUGUAUACCUCUGUCAAUGAAUGUAUUUUAAGGUUAAUUUUCUUUAUUUUUUAAGAAUAGAUGUUAGGUCAAGGUGCAGUUUUUUAAAGUAGAAAUGGGUUACAAUAAUAGUUUUUGAAUAUUUAUUUGGAAUUAUUAAUUUGAAAUUGGAUUUAAUAGUAAUUUUUUUUAGUAUAACUAAUAUGAUUUUAGCUCUUAAUUAU